RNAcentral lists this long non-coding RNA (12550 nucleotides) under Gallus gallus (chicken). RNAcentral describes it as "lncRNA (ENSGALG00010010249.1)". Lineage: Eukaryota; Metazoa; Chordata; Aves; Galliformes; Phasianidae. The record is from RNAcentral.
CUCAAAGGAGUAUUAAAAGAUGAGAUUUGAAUAAGACUGAUCAAAUGUUGGAAUGGAAGAUGCAGAUAGGUCAUAAGCUUUUGCUUUUUUGAUUGCCCAUAUUGUCUCGAAACUGUUCAGCAGAACAAAGAGUUUUGUGGAUGAAAGACUGGUGUGAAGAAACAUGAAUGUCAACUUGAGUUCUGAAAGACAGUCUGCUAAUGAAAUAUUCUAAAAGUCAUUUUCAAGGUGGUGGAAAGUUCUCACUGAUGUGCACCAAUGCUUCUGAUAAAAAGCAUCACAUAUUUAUGCAAGUAUUGGCUUUUAGGUCUGAGAAAAUAAAGUAAUGCUUGUAUGACUACAAAUGUUGCAGAAAGAUAUUUAGCCUGUUCUACUUUCAGAGGAUUAACAAAAAAUAAUCAGGAUGCUUGUUUAGGUUCUACUUUAGGCAGUCAAAACAAUUCUGGAGCAGCUAAUUUUUAGUAUUAUAAAAUAGGUUAAUAUCUAGAGCAAACUGUGUAGACUGAAAAUAAAGACAGAUUCUAAAUGUAUUUUCAGCUCAUGAAAAAAGGCACUAUUUGUUUGUGCAAUAAGUAUAAUAAGUAUAAUUUAAGACAAACCAGUAAAUAAUACAUUUGGCUGCUCCAAGUAGGAUAGAGUUUUGAAUCUGACAUUGUGUGACAUUUAAUAACUUCUUCAUAAUAGGAGUUCAUAAGAGAGAAAGAUCUAAAAGCAGUAAACAUAUUUCCAACAGUUCUAGGUGAGCAGAUCUAAUUAAAUUUUGGAAUGCAAAAGUCUCUGAAGUAAUGCUGCCAAAUUUCCAUUUUCUGGCAUUUUCUUGUGCACUUGAACUAAUUUCUAAAAAACUUGCUUCAAAAGCACUGAAGUUCAUAAAGAGGAGGCCUACUUUACCUUCAGUACCCACAGAUUUCACCUUGGAAGCCUUGCUGUUAAACUGCAGAAAUCUGUAACCUCAGCAUGAGAGCCCACUUACCCCACUGUUUACACAGCUAAGGCACCUCUGUGCUCAGCAAGGCCUGCUUGCUCCUGUUUCAGAAACAGGGCGCUUGAGAUUUUCAGAGGCACUCAAGUCUAUUAGCAGAUUUAGAGUAUGCAGACUGUAUAGCAAUAUGCUAUACAAUUAAAAUGUAAUCAUGACUUUUCUGGGGGGCAAAUGCAGUCCAAGAGAUGGUUCAUUCUCAAUUCAGUAAUCGAUGCUCUCCAAGAAGCGGAGUGUUUCUGUUCGAUGGGCUGAAGCCUUACAUUUAUCACUUUUCAAGAAACCCUACUGGCCAAGAUAGAGACUGCUUAAGAACAGGAGAGGGUCAUUCCUACCACAUCUUUUAUAAGCCAUUUCACAACGUAGGAAAGAAAUCAAGUUUAAAUGUGUUAGGAAGGAGGCAUGUGAAAUUAUGAUUCCUAACAAGUGAAGGUAAACACAGUGACAAGAUGCAUAAACCCCACUGUUAUCCUCAGCACAUCUGAAUGGCUAACUGAAUAGGCACCCAGUCAUCACUUUUCUCAUCUUGAAUCCCACCUCAAUGCAUCUAAGUCUUGCUGUGCACUCUACAAGGACCUGGUCAUCUAAGAUAGAGCUCAAAGUUCUACACUGCCAGCUUCAUUUUAAUUACGCCAGACUUAAACCUCUGCUUUAAGACUUAAAUGUGGAGCCAUUUCUAUUUCGCUAAUGUCAUAAAUAUAUUUUGAGAAUGUCAUCAAUAUAUAGUGUAUCUCCUUGUUUGAGUUACAGUAUCAGCUUUUAUUCCUAUGGUCACUAUUUUCAUUGGGUUAUUGUUAGGGUAUAGGUUUUUUUGUUCCAAAACAAUUCAGCUAGGUUUCAAAAAGAUAGUAUGUAUUGUAUGUAUUGUAUGCUAAUAGAAUUAAAAGCCUCUAACUUGCUUUUAACAUGUAUCCCUCUGGAAACAAGAAAUGACUGGUUGUUAUUGGCUGCUCUCCCUUAUGAUUUAAAAGGAAGAACUGUGGGAAGGCUUUGCUGAAUGGCCUUUGAUUUUCUGUCAAUGCAGUUUUGCCAGAAUUUUAACCUAGGUCCCAUAAGUGAAAGUAAAACAUUAAUCUGCUCAGUCAGUCGGUCCCUGGAUAAAGCUUAGAAACAGAAAAAUGUUUACAACAAAGAUAUCAUAACCCUUUGAAGACUAUAAAGAAUGAUAACAAAGCAAGUAAUUUUCUGUUUAAAACUAGUUAAGAUGCAGUGCUGUUGUUCUGAAUCUAGAUGAACAAAUGAAAGCCAAAGAUAAGUUACAGCUUACAUUUUAAUGUUACUUAGCCUUUUCUUUUUCUUAAAAUCAACCUUAGACGAAAUGUUUAGCUCUAUUUAAAUGCGUGACACUAUCCAUCACAAUUUUAUAGUUGGACACAUAAUAAUGUAUAAUCUCAGCUAGCUGUCCACUUGUAAAAAUGGGAAUAGACUUCGAGAAAUAAGCAAUUUCCCAACAGAAAAUUGGAAAUUCUGCCAACCAAUUCUGGGUGACCUGCCAUCAAUCAGUGUUAAAUUCUCCCCAGCUACUGCUGAAGGGUAUUGCCAUUACUGACGGGCUUCACCUGGUGACUAAUGCACUGUGGUUGUCAAUGAGGCUGAACACAGAGACCCGGUGCAACAACUGUGCCUUCUUGAUUUCCAUGGAGCAACUCAAGAGUUUUCAAAACUCUAGAAUUCUGACCACCUAAGUUCCAUAAGAAAAUGAUGAGCUCUGAGCCAGCAUAAUUGGGUCCCAGGAGAUCACAACAGCCGUUUUGACCCCUAUUCAGGAAAGUAUUUAUUGAUUUAUAAAACACAUAGUAAUAAAAGAACCCUGCAAAAGGCACAAGUGACCUAAGGAAACAGUUUAAAAUGUUGUCUAAUCUUGGUUGAUUGGCAGAGACCCAGUACAUUCUGAGUGCGGUAAAGCUAGUUGUACUGAGACAUUUGGCUUUCUUGGAUUCCUCCAAACCAGUCUGCUGGUCCCCCAGCAUGCUUCCAGACCAUAGGGUGGAAAUCAUUCUAUAGAUAGGUAACACAAGAAAAAUAACAACCUUUGGAUCAUAGGCAGCCUCCAAUUAAUAUACUCAAAUAGGCUUUCAGUGCAAGGUUCACUGCCUAAACUUUAGCUCAUUUAUUUUAGUUCUUAAAGCCUUACAGGAAUGCCUAAGCUCUCUAAAGAGCUAAAGGUGUAAACAGUGACUUUCACUCAUGGCCUUAGCAUUUUCAGUGAUAGCAUGUAAUUGUUUAUGGCACUCUUUUAAUGACAAAAUAACAACAAAUACUCUGCCAAAGACAUGGGAGAAAGAUAAAACAUUCACGGUGCACGUGAGUCUUGUCAUUCUCUGAUUUUAGUUUUCCUCAUUCAGGUAGUUUAUUUCAGCUAAUAUCAGUCCUUAAUGCCCACGCAAUGCAAAAUCUCCCAUUACAUGUGCAUUCAGACAUCACAGUUGUAUUUGGGAAAUGAAUCAUUUAUAUUAGUUUAGACAACAACAUAUUCAGUGGGAGAGAAUGACUGAUCCAUACAAAUACUAUCUGGAACAAGAGUGCAUGAUGAAGCAUCUCUUAUUGAUUAGAAGAUUUGUUCUUGUUUAUGGUAUUUUACAACAUCCUUAAUCAAGUCUCUUCUAAAAGAUUCCAGCAAGAUUUAAGGAAAUUCUUGAUUUUGAUGAAUAGGCUGUCAAGCAAGGUUAGACAUACAAUGUUUUUAACCAUUAGCUGGAGCUUACAUUCUCAUUUCAGAGACAGAUGCAAGUCCAAAUGUGUAAUUAUGAACAAACAAACAAACAAAAAACCCACAUGUACUCCCUAGAAAAAUGAUAUAUUUGCUUUGAAAGUAUUGGCAUUCUACUCUUAAAAAAUGCUGUUACCAUCACAUGAAGUGAUUUCUUUCUGAGAUACUGUAUACACUUUGCAGCCAGUUCAUCACAGAUCUCUGUCUUUGUGAGCUAUAACACAGAUAUAUCUGUCUCCGCAACAAAUACAAGCACUGGAAAUCAUCUUCAAUGCACUUCCAACUUGAUGUCUUGCUUUGGCAGCCAUUUCAAAUUUUUCUCUUUAACAUUGAAAUGAACGGAAGCAUUGUAAAAGCCUAAGAGGAAAGUCUGAUACACAAGACCUCUCCUUCAUGAAAACAACGAAAUAAGUGAAAUUGUAAUGGGAUUCAAUGGGGAUGAGAAGUAACUGGAAAUUAGUUGCUAAUGAUUAUCAGCAUUUGUAUAAAUGAACAGUAAGCUGUACAGAGAUUCCAGAUGUCUGGCCUUGAAUCUCAAACCUCAAAUCAAAUACUUUAAGCUUGCAAUUGUUUCUCUUAGCCUAUAGCUUUCAUGAAGGGGAUAAAUGCACAUGAUGCUGGCAUAUACAUUUCAAAACUUUCCAAUAUGCAUCUUUAGGAUUAAAUACAAAUUUUUUUACAAAUGCUUCACUGCAACAAAGAUUACCUCCAAGUAAAUAUCCACUUUAAUAUGGUCACUUUUUCUUUUUACUUUUACAGAUAGUAUUUGGACUUUCUGGAAGACUACAAGACUCUAGUGCAGACAAACAAACAUUCAGGCAAUAAAAUACCAUCACUUCUUUUGUUCAUAAGAAGCCUUUUAUGUGGAAAAUAAAAAAUUAGCAUUAUCUUCUAAUACCUAUAGGAGGAUUUCAGCUGGCCCAAGUGAACAGAAUAAGCACUGCAUCACUGGUAUGUUAAAUUUUUAAAGUAUCAACCUUCUUUUGAUUUAGAACUGAUAUCCAGUUCAUCUUUUAUCUAACUUUUUCUGCAGGUGUAUGCUAAGCACGGAGCACAUAGACUUGAAAAAGCACUGAAAUGAAGCAGUGCUCAAAAUAAUGUGAAUGCUUCUUAUAAAGUUGGAGACUUGAUUUAUUAGAAAUGGUUCAAACAUUUUUCCUAAUUAUUGUGAGCAAAGUGCCUAACAAAACUAGAAAAAUGUCUCCAGUUUGGACUCCACUGAGACUAAUACUCAUCCUUCACACUUCAAAGGGCAAAGUUGGGUAGGAGAGAAGACAGAGCAUUGGUUUUAGUCUUAGUCAGAACACUAAAAAGGGCCAUUUAAUGUUAGUAUGUGAGCCAUAGCUAUGUUUUUCAAAUAAAAUUGAAAAUAAAUCUUGAAGUUGAGUUGAAAAAUCUUGCUAUUACCUCAUAACCAUAUUUCUCUUCACAUCUUAAGAGUCAGAGAGAUUCAGAAAUAUAUGCAACACUUUCCCUAGUACUUCAAGGAAGUUGUGCUUCCAUUUUUGAUAGAUAAAACAAGGCAUAGAGUCAAGAUUCAUCUCUGGAAAUGAAUCUAAAUCAGGGUUAGGAAUUUGAUGGUGGGCAUCAUAUUGCCCACCUUUAGAUUUCGAAAAGAGAGAUGCCUGAAGGUGACACACUGAUCUGUAGAUUUAGUUCAUAGAUAACAAUCUUGGCCUAUGUCUGACAAAUUUCAGAUCUCUCUUUUUAGCUUUUUUUUUUUUUUUUCCUGCUGUGUUAGACAACUUACCCAUUCAAUGUAAUAUCUGUGCCAAUGGCCAUUCUGGGCUGCCUUAUUCUGUAUUUAUAUGUCAGGUUAUACACUGUAUUCUAGAAGCAAAUGCAACAUCAAAGUCUCUUUGGAGAUAUGUCUCAGAAUGAUUUGCCAACAGGCAUGAACCUAGCUAUUGUUAGCACCUAAAUUAGGAUUCUAGGAGAUCUGGCUUCCAGUUCAAACCACAAAAACGUGAGAGAUCUCUAGUGAGAGAUAUCUAAUGCUCAGAAAGCUAUAGAACCCUACACCUAAUUUAUAUAUACAGUCACUGUUAAGCCAUAUAUAAAAAUCAGCUAAACAUUACCUUAGCAACUCCAUGCUGAACAUGGUCCUGGUAUCAAAGCACACACAAGAAAAGAUAGUACCUUCUUUCCCACUGUUCAUGAUUUGAUUUCCACAUAAAACCUACCGGGUAUGACAGAAACCAAACUUCAUGAAGUUAACCCUUUAUACAUUUUUUCUUGGUUGUUUAUCUCAACUAUUUAACAAUGUGACCAAUCCUGACAACUUUAUAUUAGUGUAUUAAAAGCUGCUCACUUCCCAAUUUCAUUUGGCCUAGGUUGAAGUCAAGACUUCAAAAGUACAUUUCUUUCCAAAUGCACAAAUAAUCUUGGGUCAAAUGAAAAGCAACGUUGAUAAACCUCUUUUGCUACUGCAGCAGACCAAUGAAAAACAAUAUCUGUGGUAUAGCUGGAAUUCUCUCAAAUACCUGUAAGAUAAGACCACUGUCAUUACAACAGGCUGAAGGUUUAAGAAGUGGUCAAAGAAGGGAGUCCUGUAGAGAUGGGAUGGUGUUGAUCUGUCCAAAACUCCCCAUAUUGCUGCAGAAGUUUUGACUACAAACUUGUUUAUUGCAAACUUGUUGACAAACAGACUUGCGUCUAGCAGGCAUAAAAGUAUGCUCUAGUGAAGCUUGGUAGGGGCUCUGAGACUUUGAAACUUUGGGGUCAGCGCUCUCACAGACCAAGUAUCCCCAUUGACUGGACCAAUGCUGGAAACCAAACCAGUGAUCUCAUUCUUGGUCUGUCUCUCAAUCUCUCAUUCUUUCUUUUUCCCUCAUAAAGUUUUUAAGAGUCACAUAGUUUAGCUGCACAGCUUAGGUAGAUAUAACUGUAAGAGUGCCAAUACUUUUAAGAUAAUUGUAGUACAGAAAUUUCUCAUUAAAAUUGAUGAUUAUAUUUGGACUUUGAGCAUCAGUUUCACCUUAAUCUAACCAGGGGAGAUUUACAAAUUUGGUCACCUCUCCCUCCCUUCACGAGCAGAAUGUGACAGCUUUUGAAAUUAGAGAGCACUUACUCUAAAGCAUGUCUUCUGACUUAGCCUUCUGUGACAUGAACUGUAUGGUAAACAUUUUAAUUUGGGACUUUGAUAGAAGGAAUGACACGAAAGUGUAAAACUGUUUUUGUCAUCCUGCCAGUGGUGUAUGAAGAAAAUACUUUGUCUGAAAGCAAACAAGGAAGGAUUUGGAAGUGCAAGUAACAAGGCUGGAGAUGUGUUACAGGUCAAGCUAGUAGGUCAUUGACAGAACUUGACAUUUCUCUUCUAUUCCUUAUCUCGAUGAAAAAACCCAAAGUUUAAUAGAUCAUUACACAAAGAAAGCACUAUUGCCAAUACUAGUAUUGAUACUAAAAAUCUUGUUUUGACAUCUAGAGUGGUCUUGCUAUCAACACGAUUAAUCACCAACAGCUAGUCAACUUGGCAACAUUAGCAGUAAUUUAACAAAGUUUACCAACUUAUCUUUUAACUUGCCUGCAUGGCCAGUGCAACUCAUUAACAAAAAUAUUAAAAAUGUUUUGAUGAUAUGUUUUCAUGUCGUAUUUUUCUUUUUCUUUUUCCUUGACUAGUUAAGAGCAAAUAUAACCGUCAAUAGAUAUGCAUUUGUGAGAAAGCUGCAGGAAGUCAGGUAGAAAAUGACUAACAAGGAAGACUUAUGACACCAGUAACAUCAAAAUGUAUAAUAAAUUUCAGAACUAUUUGAUCAAGCUUUGCAUUCAUACAUGUAUGUGUACAUACUUCUACCAGCCACACUUAUGGCUGUAACUUAUCAUUAUGUUUAAGUGUUAAAAUACUGUGGAAAAUUCCUUUGGGCAGUAAAAUUUUGAACUUUUUGCUGUACUGAUGUUGCUGCAGAAGUCAUUUUAAGUUUUGGGAACUAUGUACACCAAACGUAGGUGUACACACAGUGUAGGUCUGAAGACAAUCUUGAAAGUGAUUAGGGUACUCCUGAUUCUGAAAAAACUAAGAUAACUUCAUUGAAGAACAUCUGGCAAUCUAAUACAUUUUUGUUACUGAACAAGCAGUAGAUAGGUUUCAAUUUUUACAGAUGUGUAAUUAUCCAAAAUUCUUUGGUGAAAGCCUAUAGCUUGCUUGUGAAUUAGUACAUUGGACUUUUUUAAAGUGAUGAGCCUUUUAUUAUUCAUUCUGUGUUGUAACUGAAGAUGGCAACAUUUUAUAAUCACAGAACCAUAGAAUGGCUUGGUUUGGAAGGGACAUUAAAGACCUUCUAGUUCCAACCCCCUGCCUUGGGCAGGGUUGUCAGCCACUAGAUCUGGCUGCACAAGGACCCAUGAAGCUUGGCCAUGAAUGCCUCCAGGGAUGGGGCAAACACAGCUUCUCUGGGCAGCCUAUAUCAAUGCCUUACCACCCUCUGAGUGAAGAAUUUCUUCUUAACAUCUAAACUUAAAAAUAAAUUUCCAAUUCUGAUUUGCUAGUCUUUACCACUCCCCAAACAAUGAAAAUGUAUUUCUGCUGACAUAGCAUGGAUUUGUAUCUAUUUAGCUAAGCAAUAUCGCUUUGGGUUCAAGUAGUAGGUCCUUGCUUUGGCAUUUUAAAACUCUGUUCUGUCCUACAUUAGAAUAACUCAAGUUCUGUGUCAAUAAAUUCAAAUGUCAUCAAAACUAGAUAUACUUAAACAUUUCAGUGAACAAAUGUCUUCUCUCCACACUCCUACCCUCUUCACCUUUCCUACAAUUAUGAUUUUAAGCAGAAAUUUGUUAGCAUGUUAAUUCUUAGAAAGUUAAUGAAAGGCUUACAUGCACAGAGGGAUUUUACUGUUUUUAUUCAUAGAGCACCCUCUGCCUCAGUUCAGUUAUGAUUUAUCUUGUUCAGUAUUAAGACAUAUUAGCUGCGUAAUACUACAAACACCACUCCUGUUUUAGGAAACAACUGAUAACUUCAUACAGUAGAAUUCUCAGUCCUCCCUAACUAAAUUUAUCUGUGAGCACAUGCAAGUACAAGCCCAUAGCGCACCUACAGAUUCACGCACGUUAAAUAUCUGGAUAAUUCAAAACGUAAUCUACAUUUCCAGUAUUUGUUCAGAAUAUUAUUUUAUUCGCACAACAAAGGCAUCAAUAGCCAGUUCAGCUCUAAGCCAGAUAAUAAAUGUACAAAAUAUCUACAAUAUUUUCAUACUUUCACAUAAAGAUUUUCUUUACUUCAUGGUACAUUUGCUGUAGCACAUGGAUUAAGAUGGGAACUAAAUAAUUUCAUUGACCAUAUCACAUUUUGCAAACCCUGAGCUGAUGGUGUUUAGAACUCUCAUUUAAAAAAAAUAAAUUAAACAUCCUGCUUAAGCACAGAUUUGUAUCAUUCUAAAUGUUGUGUUUGGAAACUAGCAGAAAAAAUAUUUGAGAUUUAAGUUUCUGUUGAAGGAAAAGGUCUUCCAAGUACAUAGCAAGUUUCUGGCUAGUUUCUGGGUUGGGCUUAUCAUAAACUUCCCCCUGUGGCAAAGUCAUCCAGUUCUGGACAUUUUUUUCUUUAUUUUCCCCAGAUUUUUUUUCUUUUCUUUUUUAAAAACACAGAUUUGUCCAAAGCAAUAAUUAGCACACAGUUCUUUAGUACUAAACGCAUGAAAAUUCAAGCAUAUUUUUAUCAAAUAUACACAUCUGGCAAUGCUGUAUGUUAUUUAUGGUCUUUUUUGAUAAAAGCAUAAUUGAUUCAAAUGGGUGAUUCAAAAAUGUAAUUUACAGUCUAGCAUCUUGAUUCUAAAGUUUUAUUUUAAUAACAGCCACCAAGACAGUAAUCAAAUUAUUGGUGAGGCAAAGCUCACAAUUCCACAGAAUUUUUAUGUCUUCAUGCAUUAGAGUGAAGUUCUUGCUUAUCCCUGUCCUUUAUCUGUGUAAAGGGGGAUAUUUACUCCAACUGUGCAUUUUCCAUUCAUUGCAUGAUUCACUGAAUCACAAAAGAAAUACAAAGUUGAUCAACAAGCAAGCAUAAUUAUAAACUAUUAAGUUACUUUCCUCCAUUUUUAUUGCAGCCUCCUUUUAAGCCUGCUUCUGAAUCUGAAGAACAAAUUUCUGCUCUGCAUGGUGUUUUCUUCCCUUCUUUUAAGUCCCUUAAUAUGCCAGACCUCUCUUUUUCAGUCAUAUAAUUACAAUGAUUAGACUUUUUUUCUUUCCAUUCUGACUCUCGGGAACACAGAACUGUAUGUAACCUUUCAGUAUUGCUUUUAGGAAAACAAAGGCAGUUAAUACAUUUGUAAGGAAAAUUACAAAUGAAAGAACUCUGUGUACUUUAGGCAUCAGUUCAAGUUUUCUUUCUAAUAGUGUUCAGAAUGAUACUUAGGUGACACAUUUGGAAUCACAUAUUGCAGAAAAUAUAGUGGACAUCUGAAAAGAUCAGUUUUGUUAUUAAGGUAUGUUGCCAUGGAUUGUUUACAAAUAUCCAGAUGUUCUUGAGUUUACCAUGAGCUUGAUUUGAAAGCCCAAGGCCACAUGUGUACUUUGUUCCUGUUUCUCUCUGUUCUCUAUAAUACGUACUCUAAAAACAGGCUGUAAUUUAGCAAAAAACAACAACAACAACAAAAACCCCUAACCAACGACAACAACAAAACACCAUGAAAUUAAGAACUAUACAGGUAAAGAAAAUGUAUAUUUGAUCUUGCCAGAUAUAAAAGUCGUCCAUGUUUAUUGUUUUCUUUAUACAUUCUCAGAAAGAGAUUACAUAAACGCUGGACAAGAACAAAAAUGAUGCUGCAUACAGGUUUAAGUCUAGUUCAUGCUAUACCUAAGCACAUUUAUGCACAGUGGUCUAGCCAAAAAUAAACAAAAACAGAACCAAGACAGUUGGAACAAAGUUGAAUAAUACAGCAAGUUCAUGACCUACUUUAAGAAAAAAUUGCCUACUACUUUCACAGAUGUUCACUGCUGUGAACUGGGCACGCUAUUCCAGCAUAUGAUUUCUAUUUCCUUCUAAUCUAAAUUAUAAUUUUAAAAAUUAAAAAAAUGAAAGAAAUCCAUUAAUUUCUGAACAAGUUCGUCUCCAAUUUGAAGUAAUGAGUUGUAAAACUGAUGCAAAAAUAAAAAGCAUUUCCAUUUCAAAAUGGAAAAUCAUACUCUUUCACUCUACAAACAAUGAAAUAGAAUACCCCCGCCACCUCGUUGGAAAGUGAUACUGGCAGCUGUGUCUCUUGUAGUGAAUGAAAGUAAGAAAUGAUCUUCAUAUUUACAUUUUACAUUGACUCCAGUAAAAUAUUUUAAAAUCAGAAAAUAGUAUAGAGUGGACAAGGAUUUUCCACUGAUCCUUUCCCACAGUAAGCUUGUCCAGUAGUAGACGUCAUUAAGAUGCAUUUCAUUUCACUGCAGUUGGCAAUAAAGUAACAUUUACACAGAAAUUAGUUCUAAAAUAUGAUACUUAAUAAGUAACAGCUUAGUGGUUUCUAAGUUCUUCUGGAUUGUGAAAUAUUAUUGGUCCAGUCAGUGGACGUUUGUCCCAUUAAAAUACAUUUUAUGUGUAUAUUGAAAAUAAAGUUUCCUUACUCUUUCCUUCAUCAUUGUAUUCUUGAGAAAUUUUGUAUCCCAGUAGUUUUGCCUCAAAUUACUGCUUGAGCACAAAUCCCCAGGUUCUCUGUUUUCAGUCCCAGUUUAUUCUUGUUAUCUCCUUUACUAUUUCAGACAAUUUAAUCCUCUUUGCCAACAGCAGCAAGGAAUGUAAGGCUUCUAGAUGGCUCUAAAAUAAUAUUACUUUCAUCUUCUAUGCUUGUCUCCAUAUUCAAGACACUUUUAUUAAAUAACUCCCCAGCACAAGCUCUACAAUACAUCACAGAACAGAUGUUUUGAGUGUCAGUACAACAGUUAUUGGGGUAUUCUAUUUAUUUUAAUGGGACCCUGGAUCCCUGUAAAUGCAAGGAAUAUUCACAAAUUUACAUAAGAUUUUAUAAUGCAUUUCAAUGAGAAACCAGCAGAGAUUCAGCUCUUCCACACUCAUGUAAUAAAGAAAUGUUUAAGCCCAGAAUCUAGAGACACAACAGAAUGAUUCAGCCAUAUGAGAAGAGAUAAGAGACUUAACUUCUCAGGAGAGCCACACAAUUUGAUGUGGUUUUAAAACAAACUUUUACUAUUAAGAAUUCUUGUCAGAAAUCAUUUACCUCAUUCCCUUCAGAAAGGAAAGAUAAAAAUAGCUGACCAUUCCUAUUUUCCUGGAAUGGUCCCUAUGCUCUCAUUUUUGUAUGUUCUUUCCCUCCUUUAGCCUGAAAAUUGCAACCCAUACGUACUGAGUUAACAAGAUAAAGGGACUGAAUUUUAGCAGAAGAAAUAAGUGCAAUGGUUAAAAUACUCAAAGGCAUGAUGGUAGAAGAAAAUAUGACUCAGCAUGCAUUGUACACAGAGAUCCUAAGGUCUUUCUGAGACAAACUCCUAUAAAGCUGAGAGGGAAGUAAAUAUUUAAGAAUACAGUACUUUGCUCCAAAGAGAGGCUAAUGUGAAAAAUUCCUACCAUGUUUCAAACACACAGUACUGGUCCUAAAACACCAUUUCCUCUAAUACUAACUACUGUUGCCAUCGGUGCCUUCUGGUCUUGUACAUACUGUGGUAUGUACAAACAGUACUUCCUUCAUCUUUGCCUUCACUCAGUAGGAAAAAUCUAAACUUCAGACAUAUCAUGUCUACUUCAAAAGAAGUUAACUUACCAUUAAAGAUGCAGUCCUGCCUCGUUCAUCUUCUUGUUCCUUCUUCUCAAUCCUACCAAAUAAGCACUCAUGCAAACCUGGGCCAGAUUAAGGAGUUGAUUUUUCUGAAAAUAAAAAAAUAUCUUUUAUUUGAAUUAUGAUAUGGCUGCAUUAAUUAAUUUAUUCCAGCAGAAGAAAAGCCCC